GAUGAACGCUAGCUACGGGCUUAACACAUGCAAGUCGAGGGGUAGCAGGGUAGCAAUACCGCUGACGACCGGCGCACGGGUGAGUAACACGUAUCCAACCUUCCCAUAACUCUGGGAUAGCCUUUCGAAAGAAAGAUUAAUACCGGAUGGUACUUUUUCAAGGCAUCUUGAGAAAGUUAAAGAUUUAUUGGUUAUGGAUGGGGAUGCGUUCCAUUAGAUAGUUGGUGAGGUAACGGCUCACCAAGUCUUCGAUGGAUAGGGGUUCUGAGAGGAAGGUCACCCACAUUGGUACUGAGACACGGACCAAACUCCUACGGGAGGCAGCAGUGAGGAAUAUUGGUCAAUGGGCGAGAGCCUGAACCAGCCAAGUAGCGUGAAGGAUGAAGGUCCUAUGGAUUGUAAACUUCUUUUAUAGUAGAAUAAAGUGAUCCACGUGUGGAUUUUUGUAUGUAUACUAUGAAUAAGGAUCGGCUAACUCCGUGCCAGCAGCAGCCGCAG
Molecule: ribosomal RNA, 498 nt
Filed under: uncultured bacterium
Lineage: Bacteria
Description: partial 16S ribosomal RNA
Rfam family: Bacterial small subunit ribosomal RNA
Source: RNAcentral